Long non-coding RNA from Anguilla rostrata (American eel), 366 nucleotides. RefSeq lists it as uncharacterized. The record is from RefSeq and is a predicted model, not a curated record. The transcript has 3 exons. Lineage: Eukaryota; Metazoa; Chordata; Actinopteri; Anguilliformes; Anguillidae.
CAAAGCGUCAACUUUGAAGUGUGCGAUAUAUGGCUUGGAUUCCGCUGUCCUGUCUGCGAUGUGGCUGCACAAACAGACCGGGCCGCUCAAAUGGAUCAGGUACAGGUGAGUUCUGGCUCCUCAGAUCAGGUACAGGUGAGUUCAGGCCGCCAGAACGGAUCAGGUACAGGUGAGUUCUGGCCUCUCGGAUCAGGUACAGGUGAGUUCAGGCCCCUCGAAUCAGGUACAGCUGAGUUCAGGCCUCUCGGAUCAGGUACAGGUGAGUUCAGGCCGCCAGAACGGAUCAGGUACAGGUGAGUUCAGGCCGCCAGAACGGAUCAGGUACAGGUGAGUUCAGGCCGCCAGAGCGGAUCAGGUACAGAUGAG